UUUCUAGGGUUCGUGUUGUUCUUCAGUAGCUGCUUUGAUAAACUGACCAUGGAGGUUUGGGGAGGUGAUGGGAGAUGAAUAUUCAUCGCCAAUCUCAGGUGCGAGCUGCUGUUCGUUGUCGAAUCUUCUAAAUUUCAUCUUGCCAGAAAAGGGAAACAUGAACCGUUAUGGGUUGCAUUCAAUUGUUCUCAUUAACGGCUCUCUUAACUCCUUCUUCCCCACUCUUUCCACAAUUCCUCAUUCAAUGCCAUUACCCCUUUCCUUAAGUCGGUGAAUCUCAACUAUAAAAAGUGAGUCUUGAUACCGUGAAUAUCAUUCUUUCACAUAUCACAACCCAAAAAUCUUUCUUUGAGCACAUUAACACCGGCGGAAUCCACCAGAGAAUUCGACUAGCCAAUUUCCGGCGAAUUCGACCUUCAAAGUCCCAGCGUGGUCGAUAAGGGUUCCAUCUGCGCUUCGAUAAGGGUUUCGAGCACAGAGAGCGCGUGCAUUAGCGUUUCAGGAACAUACUGGCCACCAAACUUCCCGAACCUACCAAACGAAUCGGGUCGUUGCCACAGGGUCGGGUCAGAUCCGGCGGUCAUUAGAACAGGCGGAUCCUUGGCGUUGGUGCAGUAGACUGAGAAUGAUGACCUUGAGCGGGGGACGUAAAGUUGAGAACUUUGGAGGGUGAUGAUCUCAAAUGGGGUCUAUUGGGAAGAGGAAGAUGAUGAUGAAGGAGGAGGAGAAACUGAGGUUUUGAAUCUCUCACAAUCAAUGUCCUUUAAACGAUCAAGUUCAGCAGAGUACAUGCUUCCAACCAGCUCAUGUUUGGUCUAAUGUUGAACCAGACAUCAGCAGCAUAAAUGAUGGUGAGGAGGUACUGAACACAUAGACUGUCAUGGACCAAGUUUAAGCGUUAGUAGGGAUCAAAGCUAAAGAUAGGUUGCUUACCGAUUGAAAUCUACUAAAACGACUUGAUUUUAGUGCAAUUGGAUUGAUACCACCAUGGAUACGCAUCUCUCUGAUCCGAUGGGAAAACAUCUCUGGCAUGCAAUGGAUCCCCAAGAUUUUAGCCCACCUUUUAGUAAGCUCACUUGCCUUAAGAAUUCCCAAGUAUCUCUUAAACUUUUCUUCAGCAUGUGAUGAUAAGAGAACUCUUCUUCCUAAUGUUCUUGGGAAAUAAAACUCCUAGCCCUUCCUGUUCAGAUUACAUCUUCCCUUUGAUGCCUUCCUAGAUGCAGCUUAUGAUUAUCAGAGUGUUUCCAUAGACUUUUAUCUAGAUGAAUCUGAUUUAAGAGUUCUCCUAAUCCCUGGAUACUUCUAUAAUCCCAAUGCUCACUUAGAAGUUUUGGUUUUGUACAGGUAAAAAGAGUUCUUCACAUUGUGGAGUUGGUGGUAAAAGGCAGCAGGGGCAUUAAGUUGGAGGAAGGACCUGAAUGGAGGGAAGGAAAAUCAAAGAUUCUCUUUAAUGGCUGGACCUGUAAUGGAAAGAACAAGUGAGAUGGUGAUUCAGAGCCCUCAUCUGGUCAGCUUCCUGUCAGAAUGUGGGAACGUCGCUAGGCAUAGAUUCACAGAGUUGUCAAGGGUACCUUACAAAAAUGCAAUUAAUUAUGCAGUAUACUUGGAAGGGUACGCGAAAGAUAUCUCUAUAAAUGUUAUUUAGUGAUCCUGAAAGUACCAAAGCAUUAUAGAAAUAAAGCUAUCCAAGAUUCAAUUAAAAUUUUGUUUAAAUUUUUU
This is an RNA transcript of Brassica oleracea var. oleracea, 1719 nucleotides long. RefSeq lists it as uncharacterized. The transcript is spliced from 3 exons. Lineage: Eukaryota; Viridiplantae; Streptophyta; Magnoliopsida; Brassicales; Brassicaceae. The record is from RefSeq and is a predicted model, not a curated record.